This 253-nucleotide ribosomal RNA is filed under the name uncultured bacterium. Its description in RNAcentral is "partial 16S ribosomal RNA". It matches the Rfam family "Bacterial small subunit ribosomal RNA", at positions 524 to 776 of the family's 1533-position model. The record is from RNAcentral.
UACGAAGGGGGCUAGCGUUGUUCGGAAUUACUGGGCGUAAAGCGUGCGCAGGCGGCUUCCCAAGUCAGGCGUGAAAGCCCUGGGCUCAACCCGGGAAUUGCGCUUGAGACUGGUGUGCUUGAGUACGGGAGAGGAUAGUGGAAUUCCCAGUGUAGAGGUGAAAUUCGUAGAUAUUGGGAAGAACACCGGUGGCGAAGGCGGCUAUCUGGACCGUAACUGACGCUGAGGCGCGAAAGCGUGGGGAGCAAACAGG